This is a non-coding RNA of Acanthosepion pharaonis, 84 nucleotides long. NCBI's taxonomy places the organism in Eukaryota, Metazoa, Mollusca, Cephalopoda, Sepiida, Sepiidae. The record is from the annotation of a GenBank genome assembly.
CAUGUUAAAACACCAGUUCCUGUAUAAUCACUGAAGUUAAGCAAUGUCAAGCCUGGUAAGUACUUGGAUGGGUGGCCACUUGGG